CUCUUAGACCUCAUUUAAGGGCUGACUGCCACUGAGGAAGGAUUUCUUUCUGGAGAUCUCUCCUUGGUGAAGUUUUCCCCUGCAAACCUAGAAUCUUCUGAUAUAGCAGUAGUGAGGCCCUUCCUUGGCCAUGGCCAUCUGCUGCAGCCAGGAGACGGAUCCCAGGUUCCUGUAGCACCCUCCUGCUUCCAGCAGCACAAACAGAGCCAGGAUGCAGCACCUCCCGAAGCAGCCUGUGAACACCUCCUCUCCAGAAACUGCUUCCUACUGGCUUAUGCAAUGAGUUGUUUCCAUGAGCGUGGGUACACGUGCAAGGGAGAAGGAGAGCAAAAAGAAAUAUUUAGCGUGGUGUAGCAGUGGCUGAGCUGGACCCAGGCUCCCGCUGCUGUUCCUAUAUGCUUUCUGUGGGCUUCAUCAGGGCAGGCAGUGAGCUCAUCCCAUCCAUGCUCCUUGUCACCGCUAUUCCUCCUUCCUCCAGCAGCCACUGCUGUUCCGUAGAGAAAGGUGGUAGUGAAGGUGUUCAUUCCCGGCUGAAGUUCAACACACCUUUUUGACAUCAAGGGAUGGCCCUGAGCUGGGGAAGAGGUGGGUGAGCAGUGAGGAGGGACUGCACUUCCAGGCUGUGGUCUGCAGGCUGUCCAGGUGCCAGAGCCCAGAGUGCAGCGUCUUGGGCUGUGCAGGAGCAGCCGCAGCACAGGGCUGUCCCACCCUGACUGCUUUGCUCUGUCUCGGGAAUUCCAUGGUCUCUGUGGCUGCCUUAAUGCCUAAGGAAGGAUAAGAGAUAAGAGGAACAGGAGGAGGCAGGACAGUGCUUUACCUGUAAGCACAGCAGUGGAGACUCUAUACUGGCAGCCCAGCAGGCAUGAGGGCUCCAGGACCUAUACGACUACUCAGGGCAGCCUCUUUAAUUUAUUAAUUGUCUCAUUGCUUCUGGAAGUAAUGCUACCAGUCAGCCCAUCCACCCAUCUGAACACCCAAGCCUCUGUACCAGAGUCUCCUCUGCUCCUGGCCAGGAAAGGGAGAGGAGGGAGGAAGAGCUCCUGCCAACACCUUACAGACUGGAAGCAGCAGCACAGUGCUACAAUCCCUGCACACACCUGCCCUGCAUCAGACCCAGUGGGGCAGGAGCAAGGUGGGCACAGCACACCUGAGCCGUGCUUCCCUGCAGCCAAGGAGGACUUAUUUUUAUUCCAGUGCAGCCGCAAGCCAGGGAGCUGCUACAGUUCUGCAAAAUGAGGAGCCAAGCAUUGCAGCGCCUGUUCAGAUUUACCAACUCCAUCACUCACAUUCCCCACAGGGGCCAAUAAGGCUCCACAGUCACGCUCUAGCACUGAGUGCUGGCUGCACAGUGAUUUACUGUGCUCUUCUCCCUGUGCCUUGUGCACCUUCAGAGUGCUGCCAUGAGUUUGGGUUGAUUGG
Molecule: non-coding RNA, 1419 nt
Organism: Meleagris gallopavo (turkey)
Lineage: Eukaryota; Metazoa; Chordata; Aves; Galliformes; Phasianidae
Source: RefSeq, a predicted model, not a curated record